RNAcentral lists this ribosomal RNA (642 nucleotides) under uncultured archaeon. RNAcentral's name for it is "bacterial SSU rRNA". It matches the Rfam family "Archaeal small subunit ribosomal RNA", at positions 357 to 1002 of the family's 1478-position model. The record is from RNAcentral.
GUGCGAAAGCACGACUGGGUCAGUCCGAGUGAUUCCUGAUAAAGGAGUCUUUUGCUUGUCCUAAAAGCACAGGUGAAUAAGGGGUAGGCAAGUCUGGUGUCAGCCGCCGCGGUAAUACCAGCACCUCGAGUGGUCAGGACGUUUAUUGGGCCUAAAGCAUCCGUAGCCGGCUCUGCAAGUCUUCGGUUAAAUCCACCUGCUCAACAGAUGGGCCGCUGGAGAUACUACAGAGCUAGGGAGUGGGAGAGGCAGACGGUAUUCAGUGGGUAGGGGUAAAAUCCUCUGAUCCAUUGAGGACCACCAGUGGCGAAGGCGGUCUGCCAGAACACGUUCGACGGUGAGGGUUGAAAGCUGGGGGAGCAAACCGGAUUAGAUACCCGGGUAGUCCCAGCUGUAAACGAUGCAAACUCGGUGAUGCAUUGGCUUAUGGCCAAUGCAGUGCCGCAGGGAAGCCGUUAAGUUUGCCGCCUGGGAAGUACGGACGCAAGUCUGAAACUUAAAGGAAUUGGCGGGGGAGCACCACAAGGGGUGAAGCCUGCGGUUCAAUUGGAGUCAACGCCAGGAAUCUUACCCGGGGAGACAGCAGAAUGAAGGUCAAGCUGAAGACUUUACCAGACAAGUGAGAGGAGGUGCAUGCCAAUC